Molecule: long non-coding RNA, 1785 nt
Organism: Amblyraja radiata (thorny skate)
Lineage: Eukaryota; Metazoa; Chordata; Chondrichthyes; Rajiformes; Rajidae
Exons: 2
Source: RefSeq, a predicted model, not a curated record
CCACAAAAAAAGUUUUUUUAAACCAAGUGUAGGAGGACUGAGGCCACAAGUCGGAAAAUAAAGAUAAGGUGGUAGUGCCGCCUGGAUGAAUUAGCCCCAACUUCUCUCCAUAAAAAAGAUUGUAAUGUAACCUAAUUAUUAAGGCAUCGCAGAUCAAAAGGAAGAAAAAAAAAAGUUGGCGACCCGAAGAUGUACAUUGUUAGACUGACAAGCUGCCGAUCUCUCAGAGAAGCCGCGAGAGAAGCCUUGCUCCAUCGGAAGUGGUUGCAUGGAAAGCGAAAACUCACUUUUCAAGCUCUUGAAAGUCAUUGUCUUUCGGGCUCACCAUACAGUAGAUUGCCAUGGCAACGCAACCUGCUGGUGUUACAAAGAGUUUAAAAUGUUGAAAGGCAGCUGAACUGACUAGAGUAAAGAGCAACAGAAUAAACAGUAUUUUGAUUCAUUUCGGGGGUUACAAAAAAAACCAGACCAUGAAUACGGGCAUUGUCCAAGCUUUUCUAAAUCUGAUUCACCAUAUCAUAACCCCUACGAAGAAGAAAACAUCAAUAUCGCAAAAGGAAAGAAGAUGUUUCUAUGGAAAACCUAGGAAUUUACUGCAUAACAGAUCUGGUGAAAAAUCAAAGAGAUCAAAGCGAGCGCUCCUGGGAGUUAGAUGCAGCUCUGAAUCAAAGAUGUACGAGGUGGACUCCAAAGUGCUUGGCUUCAUUUCAAGUCUGAAUCCCAAUUUCAAGGGAAAUGCUGUCGAAAUUUCACCCCCCAAAUCAGUCAAAACCAACACUUCAGCAGGUGCUGAUGAAGGCAUGAACAUCGCAUCAGUCUAGCCAAUGUGCAUGCAUGACAUUCAAAUAACAGUGGUUAGAGCCCGUGCAUUAUCACCACUUUGUUCUGCAAAUGCAUAUUAAUGACAAAGAGGAGGAAAAACAAACACAACGACAAAUUCCCAGAUACCACUGCAAUUAGAGAAUAUGUAUGCAUACAUAUAUAAACAAGAUUACAGAACCGUAACUUAAACGAGUAAGUAAAAUUUAUGUCCCUAUCGUUUGCAAAAACACAGUAGCAACCAGGGUAGAUACUUGGCAGUACAGCUCGCGGUAUCGACCUUUAGUAAUCAUUAAUGUGAGUUGCUUUUCAAAAUAAAUCAAAGACCAAAUCAAACCAAAGCGCUGGGGCAAUGCCGAUAGUUAUUCCCAGUGACCAACCAAAAUUGUACUUUGAAAUCUUAUGUUAUCUGAAUCAAAAAGAUUUAUUAUGCGAAGUAGUUAUAUAUGGGAAAGCAUAACCAACGACUAGAUUGUUUGAACAUUCCGGUGGAAUCUUAAUAAAGUUCAUAUUGGCAGAAAACAUGUUUCGCAAUUAGUAAUUGUAAAAGGGAAUUAAAAAAAAGAUCAAUGCACGUUGUUCGGCUAAAUUCAGUUUUUUCACAACUUACAGACAGGAUGAUUUCAACAAUAUAAAAGUUUCGGAGGGUUGUGGAAGACAAAUGAGAAGCCAUUAUCAAAUAGAAAGGUUCAAAGAGCGGAGUGGUGACAACAGCCCAUAUGCUGCCAUCCAUACUUUAAAAAAGGUUUGGCAAAAUCAAGUGUCGAUAAAUUCCAUAAAAUUCGAAAGCCAAUAAAAGUUCUCGAAUAAUAUUCCAAGAUGGACAACAAUAACGCGCCGUUCUGCUGGAGUAGAACAUCUGUACCAGGGAAUGAGAGACAAAUGACGGAAGAGUUAAAAUGUUAAUCUAAAAUCUAAUCUAUACUGGUACAAAUAGUUAUUAUUUGAUUAAAAAAUGGAAAUACA